This 279-nucleotide unclassified non-coding RNA is filed under the name plant metagenome. RNAcentral describes it as "partial contains small subunit ribosomal RNA, internal transcribed spacer 1, and 5.8S ribosomal RNA". The record is from RNAcentral.
UUUCCGUAGGUGAACCUGCGGAAGGAUCAUUCUUGAAAUACGUAUUUAGCGUUCCGUACUACCACGUUGUUUUUGUGAGCCUUUUGCGUCGACUUGAUGAUGUUCGAGGCCAAGUGUCUGCUAAACUUUGACUUGUGUAUGUUUAAUUUAUUACGAGUCAGUAAUAAAAAUAUUAACAACACCAAGUGAUGAACCAGUUCUCGGAAUAUUGUACUCCAAUGAAAUAAAGCUGUGAACAACGGAGAUCUAGGCUCUUGCAUUGAUGAAGAAUACAGCAGA